CCUACGUGAUGCAGCAGUGAGGAAUAUUGGUCAAUGGGCGGGAGCCUGAACCAGCCAAGCCGCGUGAGGGAAGAAGGUACAGCGUAUCGUAAACCUCUUUUGUCAGGGAACAAAGGCGGGGACUAGUCCCCGGAUGAGGGUACCUGAAGAAAAAGCAUCGGCUAACUCCGUGCCAGCAGCCGCGGUAAUACGUAGGGGGCAAGCGUUAUCCGGAUUUACUGGGGGUAAAGGGAGCGUAGACGGUUAUGUAAGUCUGGAGUGAAAGCCCGGGGCCCAACCCCGGGACUGCUUUGGAAACUGUGUAACUGGAGUACAGGAGGGGCAGGCGGAAUUCCUGGUGUAGCGGUGAAAUGCGUAGAUAUCAGGAGGAACCCCGGCGGCGAAGGCGGCCUGCUGGACUGAAACUGACGUUGAGGCUCGAAAGCGUGGGGAGCAAACAGGAUUAGAUACCCUAGUAGUC
Molecule: ribosomal RNA, 460 nt
Filed under: uncultured bacterium
Lineage: Bacteria
Description: partial 16S ribosomal RNA
Rfam family: Bacterial small subunit ribosomal RNA
Source: RNAcentral